AUCUGGUCAUUAGAGGAAGUAAAGUCGUAACAAGGUCUCCGUAGGUGAACUGCGGAAGGAUCAUUAAAGAAUCGCCCCGUUUUUGAAAUGGGUUCUAUUCCCAAACCGUGUAUACAUACCUUUGUUGCUUUGGCAGGCCGCAUUUUAGGCGUCGGCUCCGGCUGACUGCGCCUGCCAGAGGACCCAAACUCUUUUGUUUAGUGAUGUCUGAGUACUAUAUAAUAGUUAAAACUUUCAACAACGGAUCUCUUGGUUCUGGCAUCGAUGAAGAACGCAGCGAAAUGCGAUAAGUAAUGUGAAUUGCAGAAUUCAGUGAAUCAUCGAAUCUUUGAACGCACAUUGCGCCCCUUGGUAUUCCGAGGGGCAUGCCUGUUCGAGCGUCAUUAUAACCACUCAAGCCUUGGCUUGGUCUUGGGGUUCGCGGUUUCGCGGCCCUUAAAAUCAGUGGCGGUGCCGUUUGGCUCUAAGCGUAGUAAUUCUCUCGCUAUAGGGUCCAGGUGACCACCUGCCAGAACCCCCCAUUCUUUACGGUUGACCUCGGAUCAGGUAGGGAUACCCGCUGAACUUAAGCAUAUCAAUAAGCGGAGGA
This 589-nucleotide ribosomal RNA is filed under the name uncultured Helotiales. Its description in RNAcentral is "eukaryotic LSU rRNA". The stretch from base 230 to 383 matches the Rfam family "5.8S ribosomal RNA". The record is from RNAcentral. Lineage: Eukaryota; Fungi; Ascomycota; Leotiomycetes; Helotiales.